GUUGCAUCAAGGUGGUUGGUGCAAGUUCUUGGUAGCGUAUUCUGAAGACCCUGUGUCUUAACCACACCCCCAAAGAAAUCUCUGAUGGCAUGUCCUCCAGAUACAUCAUUUGCGUCCAUAAAUAAUCCAGCAUCACUCAGGCACUUCACUUUAGUAUGUGGGAGCGAAUUGCUGAAAUCAUCACAAUGCAUUAUUGAAGCUAGACCACCAGCAGAACAUCCAGAGAGAAGAGCCUGCUUGGCGUAUCGCAUUCCUUUUGACCUUAACUCCUCCAUUGCAGCUUGAUAUAUGCGCUUGCCUCUAUAUUGCAACCCUGCAGCCUUAUCUUCACUAUCCCCGGUAAAUGAGGCACCAUCACAGUAGCGAACUUUUACUCUA
Molecule: unclassified non-coding RNA, 378 nt
Filed under: Hevea brasiliensis (rubber tree)
Lineage: Eukaryota; Viridiplantae; Streptophyta; Magnoliopsida; Malpighiales; Euphorbiaceae
Source: RNAcentral